This 1114-nucleotide long non-coding RNA is filed under the name Papio anubis (olive baboon). RNAcentral's name for it is "lncRNA (ENSPANG00000049252.1)". Lineage: Eukaryota; Metazoa; Chordata; Mammalia; Primates; Cercopithecidae. The record is from RNAcentral.
AAAAUUAUGAAUUAAUUAAUGGAGGUUUACACUUUUAUCAUGUUGAUUUUUCCUAUCCAGAAAUAUGGUAUGCUUUUAUUAUUUGUUCAUACCUAUUUUUAUUGUUUUCCAUUACUAGUGUUAUAUAGUUUCUUCACAUAAAUUUUGCACAUGUCUCAUUAGGUUUCCUGUGUAUAAGUCAGAGUCCCAGCAAGAAAGGUAUAGCAGAUAUUCAAAUGGGCUAAUGGAGGGGAGUUUGAUGAAAGGAUUAUUUUCAAAGGUGAGGAAAAGGUUAAGGAGACUCAACAAGGGACAGUGUAAAAGCUAAUUUUAGGUGUACACUUGACUGGAUUAAGUAAUACCUAGAGAGCUAGUAAAGGAUUAUUUCUGGGUCUAUGAGGGUGAUUUUGGAAAAGAUUGACAUUUAAGCCAGCAGACUGUGUAAGGAAGAUCCACUCUCACUCAGUGUGAGCGAGGACCAUCCAGUCGGCUCAGGGCCCAGAUAGAACAAAAAGGCAGAAGAAAGUCAGAUUCACUCUCUGUCUUCUGGAACUGAAACACUUUCUUUUCCUGCCAUAGGACAUCAGAACCCUAGGUUCUCUGGUCCUCGGACUCUGAGACUUACACCAGCAAUCCUGCCCAGGCUCUCAGGCCUUUGGACUCAGACUGAGCUACUUCACUGGCUUUCCUGGGUCUCCAGCUUGAAGAUGACAGACCGUGGGCCUUCUCAGCCUCCAUAAACGUGUGAGCCAAUUCCCAUGGCUUACAGGUGGAAAGGACUUACCUUGUCUCAGAUGAGACUUUCGACUUUGAACUUUUGGGUUAAUACUUGAACGAGUUAAGACUUUGGAGGACUGUUGUGAAGGACACACUUGGAUAAUCCAGAAUGAUUUCAUCUUGAGAUUCUUGAUUUAAUUACAUCUGCAAAUGAGACAAGUUUUCAAAUAAGAUAAUAUUCACAGGCUCCAGGCAUUUGAUGAGGAUACAACAAGAAGGUGGCCAUCUGCAGGCCAGGAGGUGUCCCCUCCCCAGAAACUGGAUGAGCCAGCACGUUGAUUCUGAACUUCUAGCCUCCAGAACUGUAAGAAAUAAAUUUCUAUUGUUUAAGCCACCUGGUCAUGAUAUACUGUUGUAG